RNAcentral lists this ribosomal RNA (470 nucleotides) under uncultured bacterium. RNAcentral's name for it is "bacterial SSU rRNA". It matches the Rfam family "Bacterial small subunit ribosomal RNA", at positions 355 to 823 of the family's 1533-position model. The record is from RNAcentral.
UGGGGAAUUUUGGACAAUGGGGGCAACCCUGAUCCAGCAAUGCCGCGUGAGUGAAGAAGGCCUUCGGGUUGUAAAGCUCUUUUGUCAGGGAAGAAACGGUAGUAGCGAAUAACUAUUACUAAUGACGGUACCUGAAGAAUAAGCACCGGCUAACUACGUGCCAGCAGCCGCGGUAAUACGUAGGGUGCAAGCGUUAAUCGGAAUUACUGGGUGUAAAGCGUGCGCAGGCGGUUGUGUAAGUCAGAUGUGAAAUCCCCGGGCUCAACCUGGGAAUUGCAUUUGAGACUGCACGGCUAGAGUGUGUCAGAGGGGGGUAGAAUUCCACGUGUAGCAGUGAAAUGCGUAGAUAUGUGGAGGAAUACCGAUGGCGAAGGCAGCCCCCUGGGAUAACACUGACGCUCAUGCACGAAAGCGUGGGGAGCAAACAGGAUUAGAUACCCCGGUAGUCCCUGAGCGGGCUGGCAAGGCGC